CAGUCGCCGCGGGAAUACGAAGGGUGCAAGCGUUAAUCGGAAUUACUGGGCGUAAAGCGCGCGUAGGUGGUUUGGUAAGAUGGAUGUGAAAUCCCCGGGCUCAACCUGGGAACUGCAUCCAUAACUGCCUGACUAGAGUACGGUAGAGGGUGGUGGAAUUUCCUGUGUAGCGGUGAAAUGCGUAGAUAUAGGAAGGAACACCAGUGGCGAAGGCGACCACCUGGACUGAUACUGACACUGAGGUGCGAAAGCGUGGGGAGCAAACAGGAUUAGAUACCCCUGUAGUCCCUGUCUCUUAUAC
RNAcentral lists this ribosomal RNA (301 nucleotides) under uncultured bacterium. RNAcentral describes it as "partial 16S ribosomal RNA". It matches the Rfam family "Bacterial small subunit ribosomal RNA", at positions 509 to 807 of the family's 1533-position model. The record is from RNAcentral.